GGCCGGAUGCCCGAGCGGACUAAGGGAGCGGAUUGCAAAUCCGCGAUUCGUGGGUUCGAAUCCCACUCCGGCCU
This 74-nucleotide transfer RNA is filed under the name Phycisphaerae bacterium. RNAcentral's name for it is "tRNA-Cys". It matches the Rfam family "tRNA". From Rfam's summary of the family: Transfer RNA (tRNA) molecules are approximately 80 nucleotides in length. Their secondary structure includes four short double-helical elements and three loops (D, anti-codon, and T loops). The record is from RNAcentral. Lineage: Bacteria; Pseudomonadati; Planctomycetota; Phycisphaerae.